This 591-nucleotide ribosomal RNA is filed under the name uncultured bacterium. Its description in RNAcentral is "bacterial SSU rRNA". It matches the Rfam family "Bacterial small subunit ribosomal RNA", at positions 338 to 945 of the family's 1533-position model. The record is from RNAcentral.
CCUACGGGAGGCAGCAGUGGGGAAUAUUGGACAAUGGGCGAAAGCCUGAUCCAGCAAUGCCGCGUGAGUGAUGAAGGCCUUAGGGUUGUAAAGCUCUUUUACCAGGGAUGAUAAUGACAGUACCUGGAGAAUAAGCUCCGGCUAACUCCGUGCCAGCAGCCGCGGUAAUACGGAGGGAGCUAGCGUUGUUCGGAAUUACUGGGCGUAAAGCGUACGUAGGCGGUUAUUCAAGUCAGAGGUGAAAGCCUGGAGCUCAACUCCAGAACUGCCUUUGAAACUAGAUAGCUAGAAUCUUGGAGAGGUGAGUGGAAUUCCGAGUGUAGAGGUGAAAUUCGUAGAUAUUCGGAAGAACACCAGUGGCGAAGGCGACUCACUGGACAAGUAUUGACGCUGAGGUACGAAAGCGUGGGGAGCAAACAGGAUUAGAUACCCUGGUAGUCCACGCCGUAAACGAUGAUAACUAGCUGUUCGGGCUCUACGAGCUUGAGUGGCGCAGCUAACGCAUUAAGUUAUCCGCCUGGGGAUACGGUCGCAAGNUUAAAACUCAAAGGAAUUGACCGGNNGAGACGNGCGAGACGACGACGAGGAGAG